RNAcentral lists this ribosomal RNA (119 nucleotides) under Pteropus alecto (black flying fox). Lineage: Eukaryota; Metazoa; Chordata; Mammalia; Chiroptera; Pteropodidae. The record is from RNAcentral.
GUCUACGGCCACGCCACCCUGAACACGCCCGAUCCCGUCCGAUCUCGGAAACUAAGCAGGGUCGGGCCUGGUUAGUACUUGGAUGGGAGACCAUCCAGGAAGACCAGGUGCCGUAGGUG